GAUGAACGCUGGCGGCGUGCCUAAUACAUGCAAGUCGAGCGAACGGACGAGAAGCUUGCUUCUCUGAUGUUAGCGGCGGACGGGUGAGUAACACGUGGAUAACCUACCUAUAAGACUGGGAUAACUUCGGGAAACCGGAGCUAAUACCGGAUAAUAUUUUGAACCGCAUGGUUCAAAAGUGAAAGACGGUCUUGCUGUCACUUAUAGAUGGAUCCGCGCUGCAUUAGCUAGUUGGUAAGGUAACGGCUUACCAAGGCAACGAUGCAUAGCCGACCUGAGAGGGUGAUCGGCCACACUGGAACUGAGACACGGUCCAGACUCCUACGGGAGGCAGCAGUAGGGAAUCUUCCGCACAGGGCGAAAGCCUGACGGAGCAACGCCGCGUGAGUGAUGAAGGUCUUCGGAUCGUAAAACUCUGUUAUUAGGGAAGAACAUAUGUGUAAGUAACUGUGCACAUCUUGACGGUACCUAAUCAGAAAGCCACGGCUAACUACGUG
RNAcentral lists this ribosomal RNA (497 nucleotides) under uncultured bacterium. RNAcentral describes it as "partial 16S ribosomal RNA". It matches the Rfam family "Bacterial small subunit ribosomal RNA", at positions 28 to 507 of the family's 1533-position model. The record is from RNAcentral.